UGGGGAAUUUUGCGCAAUGGGCGAAAGCCUGACGCAGCAAUUCCGCGUGGGGGACGAAGGCCCUCGGGUCGUAAACCCCUUUUGUGAGGGAAGAAGUUCUGACGGUACCUCACGAAUAAGACACGGCUAACUACGUGCCAGCAGCCGCGGUAAUACGUAGGUGUCGAGCGUUGUCCGGAUUUAUUGGGCGUAAAGAGCCCGCAGGCGGCUUGGUAAGUUCGAGGUGAAAUCUCCCGGCUCAACUGGGAGGGUGCCUCGAAAACUAUCAGGCUUGAGGCAGGGAGAGGGAUGUGGAAUUCCCGGUGUAGUGGUGAAAUGCGUAGAUACCGGGAGGAACACCAGUGGCGAAGGCGGCAUCCUGGCCCUGUCCUGACGCUCAGGGGCGAAAGCGUGGGGAGCAAACC
This 404-nucleotide ribosomal RNA is filed under the name uncultured bacterium. Its description in RNAcentral is "bacterial SSU rRNA". It matches the Rfam family "Bacterial small subunit ribosomal RNA", at positions 355 to 774 of the family's 1533-position model. The record is from RNAcentral.